Molecule: transfer RNA, 86 nt
Filed under: candidate division WWE3 bacterium CG08_land_8_20_14_0_20_41_10
Lineage: Bacteria; candidate division WWE3
Description: tRNA-Leu
Rfam family: tRNA
About the family: Transfer RNA (tRNA) molecules are approximately 80 nucleotides in length. Their secondary structure includes four short double-helical elements and three loops (D, anti-codon, and T loops).
Source: RNAcentral
GGGCGAGUGGCGGAAUGGCAUACGCGCAACGCUAAGGACGUUGUGGGGUAAAACCCAUGCAGGUUCAAGUCCUGUCUCGCCCACCA